RNAcentral lists this ribosomal RNA (171 nucleotides) under uncultured bacterium. RNAcentral describes it as "partial 16S ribosomal RNA". It matches the Rfam family "Bacterial small subunit ribosomal RNA", at positions 361 to 524 of the family's 1533-position model. The record is from RNAcentral.
AUAUUGGACAAUGGGCGAAAGCCUGAUCCAGCCAUGCCGCGUGUGUGAAGAAGGUCUUCGGAUUGUAAAGCACUUUAAGUUGGGAGGAAGGGCAUUAACCUAAUACGUUAGUGUUCUGACGUUACCGACAGAAUAAGCAUCGGCUAACUCCGUGCCAGCAGCCGCGGUAAU